This 271-nucleotide ribosomal RNA is filed under the name uncultured bacterium. Its description in RNAcentral is "partial 16S ribosomal RNA". It matches the Rfam family "Bacterial small subunit ribosomal RNA", at positions 1221 to 1500 of the family's 1533-position model. The record is from RNAcentral.
CGUGUUACAAUGGCAGGUACAGAGGGGUGCUACCGGGUGACCGGAUGCCGAUCUCGAAAACCUGUCCCAGUUCGGACUGGAGUCUGCAACCCGACUCCACGAAGUUGGAUUCGCUAGUAAUCGCGCAUCAGCCAUGGCGCGGUGAAUACGUUCCCGGGCCUUGUACACACCGCCCGUCAAGCCAUGGGAGCCGGGGGCGCCUGAAGUCCGGGACCGCGAGGACCGGCCUAAGGCGAAACUGGUGACUGGGGCUAAGUCGUAACAAGGUAGC